CGGGACGGGUGAGUAAUGUCUGGGAAACUGCCUGAUGGGGGGGGAUAACUACUGGAAACGGUAGCUAAUACCGCAUAACGUCGCAAGACCAAAGAGGGGGACCUUCGGGCCUCUUGCCAUCGGAUGUGCCCAGAUGGGAUUAGCUAGUAGGUGGGGUAACGGCUCACCUAGGCGACGAUCCCUAGCUGGUCUGAGAGGAUGACCAGCCACACUGGAACUGAGACACGGUCCAG
RNAcentral lists this ribosomal RNA (233 nucleotides) under uncultured bacterium. Its description in RNAcentral is "partial 16S ribosomal RNA". It matches the Rfam family "Bacterial small subunit ribosomal RNA", at positions 100 to 334 of the family's 1533-position model. The record is from RNAcentral.